AAUUCAAGGACACAUUCCAACUUGGCAAGAACACCUGAGCAAGUGUUAAACAGCAUUAUCUGUAAGGGACGUGACCUGAGGUGGGCAUAGCCUAGGGAGAGGCACAAGGGCCAGAGAGAGAGAUGCCUAGAAGGGCACACAGGAACACCAGGCUGGCAGUCCCCAACAUGAGCAUUUUAUAGCAAUAUAGUGGGUGCUGGAGAAUUCCAUAGAGUGGGAAAGUGGGGAACGGGAAGAUUUUGCUGCUCAUGCUCAGUAAAGUUUUUUCCCCCUGAGGCAUUUGGAUGCCAAGAUGGUGGAGGAGGAAUCUUCCCCCUCCUCCUUCUGAGGGGAGACCGAGGGCUGUGACCUACAAAGUAAAUUUCCCAUCAAUGGGAUUGCAUGUGAAACACGCGGAAGGCAAGCUGGGCGCCAAACUGGCCAGGGGAGAUCCUAAUUGCUUCUGCAUGGAAGAUGUUAUGCUCAUUAUUUAACAUUUAUUGGAAAAUACAACAAGAAGUUCAGUAAGUAAUCUCUUGGAUUAGAAUGUUGAAAUGUUGGUGGACUGAAAAAAUGUGAAUUUUAUUAUCAUAAAUCAAUAUUAAUAAGGAAAUGAACUUUUGUGUUCCUGCUUUAAAAGAAAGCCAAUGAAACAGUAACCGGCAUUUUAACACCACCUCAGGAGUAUACACGGUCUUCCUAGUAAACCCCUUGAAAUUAAGAAAAAUAGUUAUUCAGUUUCACCAAGAUCCACAAGCAAAUCCUAACAUGCAGCAGCUAAGUGGCAAUUGUUAUUCAUAGCCAAGGCCUGCAAAGCAGUAAGCUGUCAGAAAGAGGGAAGGCAUACAGGCUUGUGCAAGGCUUUGGGCCAGAAGGAAGGGAGGCCCCAGAGUCCAGCAGCAAUCAUGGCACAGGGCUGGGGGCUGCAUUUCAAAGUGAUUACACAAUACCAAAAAAAAUAAAAGCCCAUACAAGAUUAUCAUAUAUGUUUAAAUAGCUGCAUAUACAAAACAGUAAAUACAAUUACUGUAUAUUAAAACAAUUGUACAAAUAAAACAGUUUCAACUAAAUUCUGAUACCGAUGGAGAUAAAAGCGAAUGUAUAUCUGACCUUCGUGAAAAUGAAGAGAAGCAAUUUCUUGUGAGGCUAACAUAAAAUCUAAACUUCCCCUGAAAUGUAACCUUCUUCUCACGGGGUAUCAUAACCCUUCCAGGACAAUUUCCCAGAUCUCUGUCAAAUAUGUUACACAUUUUUUCCUGAAAGUUUUGAUGCGCCAAUCAACAUUGUAUCCCAACAUGUUCUACAGAAUUUUAUUUAUUUAUUUACUGUAAGCCAACCAAGGCAGUUGUCUGUAGCCUCCAACCACAAUGUAACCACACUGGUGCUCUGCUCCUGGAAACUACAGUACUUGGAAAUCCGCAAAAGCAGUGAUGCUGGUGAAAGUAGCCUUCCCCAGGGAGCCUGGACUGCCUUUCCACUUGCUAAAAGGUAAGUAGCUACAUGUAGUAAGCACUGACUUGUUAAUAAGUGGUUGUGUCCCCCCCCCCAUUUUUUUGCACUCCAGCAGUUCAAGAACAGCCUUUCUGUAUACCUGUUUCCAAAUACUGGUUCUUGUUUUUAUUUAUUAAAUCAGUGGCUUAUGUGGCUGUGCAUGUUCACAGCCUCCAAAAGCAAAUUAUUGUUUUCACAUUAAGUGUUUGCCUUUUUUAAAAAAAAAAAUACUGCUAAGUAGAUAACAUGUUCUCUGAUGUUGGUUGAUUGAUGCUACUAUACAAGCCUUUUGGGAAACAGCUGUUGCUAAUAAGAAGCAUUAUAACAAAAUAAUUGGGUUUCUUUCUUGAAGAAACAUUUUGUACAAAUGCUAAUGAUGUUGUUUAUUUUCCUUCAUAAACAUUUUCAGAGACUGUUCUUUUAUCUGCUACAGCAAAUUAUAAUAGUGAUGGUUUAAAUAGAGAAAGACAAAUUGUUCUUAGGUUUACAGCAGGAAAAUUCUCCUUUGAUAUAUAUUUGGCUGUGUGUUCCCUUCUGCAGUUGGGAAUACUCUACUCUGCUUUUUUUAAAAAAAUAAAGAAAUCCUAAGCCCGCAAAGACUUCUUUUUUAUAUUACUAUUGGCUCUAUUAAUGUGUUUGUACUGUAUUGUCCUUGCGCAGUGAUGCUUUGCCCUGAACAGGGUGUGCAUCAGGGAAAAGUGGGGUGGGGUGUAGCAAGAGCCCCCCAGGACACAAGUGUCAGUCAAGGGCAGGGAUAAUGUGGUGGUACAAGAGAGGUGGG
RNAcentral lists this long non-coding RNA (2251 nucleotides) under Podarcis muralis (Common wall lizard). RNAcentral's name for it is "lncRNA (ENSPMRG00000003376.1)". Lineage: Eukaryota; Metazoa; Chordata; Lepidosauria; Squamata; Lacertidae. The record is from RNAcentral.